Podarcis muralis (Common wall lizard) is the source of this 1372-nucleotide non-coding RNA. The record is from RefSeq and is a predicted model, not a curated record. NCBI's taxonomy places the organism in Eukaryota, Metazoa, Chordata, Lepidosauria, Squamata, Lacertidae.
AAUGCUGGAUCCAACUCAUAGGAAGCUAUAGCAAAAAGGCUGCUUGGGCCCAUCUCGCCCAGGACUGUCGACACUGACAGCAGCGCCUCUCCAAGGUUUCAGGGGAUGGACUGACAUGGCAACCGAUUACCGGCUCUGAUUUCCCACCCCCCGACGCCAACCCUCUCACCUGUGCUGAUGCUGCUGUAAAUUUCACUGAAGCGAGGGUCCCGCUCCUGACUGAAGAGGGUCUCUGCUUUCUCCAGAGGUUUGCCAUGGUCCGGGCCGGUGGUGGCCACCGGUUGAACGGCAGCCUGGAAGGAGAUGAGCAAACACAGGGUUGCACAGUCAGCUCAGUUCUACUCCUGAGUAGAUCCUCUGAAAUCAACGUGCCUAAGUCCUGUACUGAACGACUCCUCUAGUCGCCAAUGGCGACUGGCAACUCCACAGAGGUGAGCGCCGUGAGUUCCUUCCAGUGGAGUGUGUGGUCUACCAAAGGUGGGACACAGUGAUCCGUGUCAGUGGGUGUGUUUGUGUGUGCCCUCUGCCAGGUCUCAAUUUGGGGCAGGGAGCUGGGACGAGUCCCCAUGGAACCUCUUGGAACCUUUGCCGAUUUACCUGGGCGUGGUCGUAACUGGCUAAGCUCUCCCUGACGGGGACCACGUCGACGUCUGUUGGCUGCGUCGCCUGCUGCCUGAAACACAAGCCAUUGUUAAGAGCAGCGGAUUCUCCCUAAGAGCUGGGAGACGUGAGGGACUGGGCCCUAAUCUCUGCCAUGCGCUCACCAAACUGGCCAUCUCGCAGGGAUUAUUUAGCCAUGAUUCCCUCAUUGCAGGGGGUUGGACUAGAUGGCCCUUGGGUUGCCCUUCCAACUCUCCUACAAUUCUACAAAAGUGGCCUCAGGCAAGCUGCCAGCCCCGCCCUGGAGCAACACAGGGGACAGCAAUUGUGGUGCGGCUUUUGAGGCUGCCAGAUAAGGACACCUGCUGCGAUAAGAGCGCCCCCUGGCCUAUCGUUCUCCAGCCUAGGAUGACUUGGCAUACAGACAGGUAAGGUGGGAAAAGACCCCCCCCCAUUGGUCUCUACGGCAACCAGGCCCGCUCUUUGGACAUGUAAAUGGCAGUACUUCAGCGGCCAGCUAAAGCUGGAAUCUUGCGAAGAAACUUGUCUGAGCAGUUCAGUGGCCUCUUCUACUAGACUCUAAACCCACUGGAUACAAGAUCACAGGCCUGGAAGGGACCCAUGAAUAUCGUCCAGACUUCCCGCCCUCCUGAUAAAAAACACUUUAUUUUUAGAAGAACAGGACUUCAAAGUAACAGGAAAUAAAUGAAUUAGCAGAAACAUUAAAAAGGGGGUCUUCCAGAAUGAGACAUUCAGGUGAGGUUACCUGCUG